CUUGUUUCUCUCUCAGUUGAAACCACUUGCAUACAGGAGUAUGGAUUUUGAAGAAUUCUGCGCCGCAGCUAUCAGCCCUUACCAGCUCGAGGCUCUGGACAAAUGGGAGGAGAUUGCUGGAACAGCUUUUUUCAGCACUUUGAACAGGAGGGCAACCGAGUCAUAUCAGUCGAGGAGUUGGCACAGGAACUAAAUCUUGCUCCGACUCAUUAUUCCAUCGUGCAAGAUUGGAU
This is a long non-coding RNA of Hordeum vulgare subsp. vulgare (domesticated barley), 233 nucleotides long. RefSeq lists it as uncharacterized. The record is from RefSeq and is a predicted model, not a curated record. The transcript has 2 exons. Lineage: Eukaryota; Viridiplantae; Streptophyta; Magnoliopsida; Poales; Poaceae.